This is a long non-coding RNA of Medicago truncatula (barrel medic), 1387 nucleotides long. RefSeq lists it as uncharacterized. The transcript is spliced from 8 exons. Lineage: Eukaryota; Viridiplantae; Streptophyta; Magnoliopsida; Fabales; Fabaceae. The record is from RefSeq and is a predicted model, not a curated record.
UUAAAAAAAGCUGAAACUAUUUUGGGUUCGCGCUGAUAUAAUUUUCCUUUCCCACUUCUUUUCACACAAUCAAUAAGAACUUCUUUUCUCUCACUUUGAACCCAGACCUUCUUUGAACAUCAUUCGAAUCUCAGCCUCAGCAAACUCAUACCCAUUGAACCCCAUAUCUCCCAUGUCAUCAUCUCACUCUCAACGAUAAGAUACAAAACAUCAUUUGCUGGAGUCCACAAAUGCCGAACUCUCUCCCUAGUCCCUAACCUCAUACCUUCAUCGAUCUAUCCCUCACCUAACCCAUCAUUUGAACGCUCUCUCUCUCUCUCUCCCUCGUUGAACUCUAAUUGAAUCAAUUGAUUGAAACCCCCCAUCUUUCAGAAAUCAAUUGAACCCUAAUUUGAUUAAUCAAAUUCUAUGUGAGGCAAGUGGUGAACACAAUCUUCCAUUCAUAAGAAGGGAUGUUUGGUGUGAAAUAACCUGCAGAAUUUUGCAGUAGUGGAUCAGAUUUGUGUUGUUUUGUUGUCUCGGUUCUGUUUUGGGGUGGGAGUGAUCUAGAAUUGCUUGUGUUGUUUCGUCAUUUGGAGUCAAUUGAGGGUUUCAAUUGAGUCGGUUUUCUGAUCUGCCAGUAGUAUUGGUUCGAGGACAGCGAAUUCGGGUUAUGAUCCUCCAGAUUGCGCUGCUACUACUGAACUGCUGCGGCUUUGAGCUUUUGCUGCGGUUCUGCUACUCCUAAUUGCUACUGCUGUUGUGCGCUGCAUCUGCUGUACCACUGAUUUGCGCUUCUGCUGCUGUUCCUAUUCGCUGCUACAGUCUGCUUCCUCAUCUCCUUCCAUUUCGUUACAAACUCAUUGUGUUACAGUCCCGUCCAAACUAUUUUCUUUGUCGGUUUUAAAGCAAUAUCACUACUUGUUGUAGUGCAUACUUUGGAGACCAAUAUUAGUCUUGGAAAUGUGUCUUUCUCAUUCACUCACACCAAAGCUCUAGAGCCUUUCUUUUCCAUCAUUCUUUCUGCCAUAUUUAUUGGAGAGCGACGUGUUGUAAUGUGGCAUUAACCAACCAUUCAAGCACUUAAAGAUGACAAAAUAUAGAUGACACUAUUUCAGUUGUAAUCGUUGUUGCAGAGAUCUUCAAACUCAAAGUUGAUAAGGUUAAGCUAAUUGAAGUAUUUGGUACAUAUCAAUCUGAAUUUUCAAGUGUAAUUGUUGUGUAUGUACAAUGAAUCUCCAAUGUGCAAUUUCUUUAUUAUGGUUGUGAGUGCUAUGUAUUAACGAAAUGUGAAUGAUGUAAUUUUGCUUUUAUGAUGAAAGAUUUAAUUUCCAUACUUGUAAUUGGAAUCUGAGUUGUAUUUUGUUGUUAGGUUCUUUUAUAAUGAAUGACUCAUAUAGUAUUUUUU